UUUAAAUGGCCGCAGUAUUUUAACUGUGCAAAGGUAGCAUAAUCAUUAGUCUUUUAAUUGAAGGCUGGUAUGAAUGGUUGGACGAAAUAUUAACUGUUUCAUAAAAAUUUUUAUUAAAAUUUUAUUUUUUAGUAAAAAAGCUAAAAUUUAUUUAAAAGACGAGAAGACCCUAUAAAUCUUUAUAUUUAAAUUAUUAAAAUUUUAUAGAUUUUUUUUAUUAUAAUAAUUAAUAAUAUUUUAUUGGGGUGAUAUUAAAAUUUAAUGAACUUUUAAUAAAAAUUAUCAUUGAUUUAUGAAUAAUUGAUCCAUUAAUAGUGAUUAAAAAUUUAAGUUACUUUAGGGAUAACAGCGUAAUUUUUUUGGAGAGUUCUUAUCGAUAAAAAAGAUUGCGACCUCGAUGUUGGAUUAAGAUAUAAUUUUAGGUGUAGUAGCUUAAAUUUUGAGUCU
RNAcentral lists this ribosomal RNA (447 nucleotides) under Gymnosoma nudifrons. Its description in RNAcentral is "partial 16S ribosomal RNA". The record is from RNAcentral. Lineage: Eukaryota; Metazoa; Arthropoda; Insecta; Diptera; Tachinidae.